GGGUCAGUAGGUUGGUCGUGCCACCGGUACGUACUGGUCUCACUGAUUCCUCCUCCCCGAAGAACCGUAAUGCCAUUAAUUUGGUGUUGCGGGGAAACAGGACUGUUACUUUGAAAAAAUUAGAGUGUUUAAAGCAAGCUAACGCUUGAAUACAUUAGCAUGGAAUAAUGAAAUAGGACGAUCGAUCCUAUUUUGUUGGUUUCUAGGAUUGACGUA
RNAcentral lists this ribosomal RNA (216 nucleotides) under Glomeromycotina sp. Its description in RNAcentral is "partial small subunit ribosomal RNA". The stretch from base 75 to 216 matches the Rfam family "Eukaryotic small subunit ribosomal RNA", at positions 721 to 864 of the family's 1831-position model. The record is from RNAcentral. Lineage: Eukaryota; Fungi; Glomeromycota.